GACGAACGCUGGCGGCGUGCCUAAUACAUGCAAGUCGAACGCAUUUUCUUUCACCGUAGCUUGCUACACCGAAAGAAAAUGAGUGGCGAACGGGUGAGUAACACGUGGGUAACCUGCCCAUCAGCGGGGGAUAACACUUGGAAACAGGUGCUAAUACCGCAUAAUUCCAUUUACCGCAUGGUAGAUGGGUGAAAGGCGCUUUUGCGUCACUGAUGGAUGGACCCGCGGUGCAUUAGCUAGUUGGUGGGGUAACGGCCUACCAAGGCUGCGAUGCAUAGCCGACCUGAGAGGGUGAUCGGCCCACCUGGGACUGAGACACGGCCCAGACUCCUACGGGGGGCAGCAGUAGGGAAUUUUCGGAAAUGGACGAAAGUCUGACCGAGCAACGCCGGGUGAGGGAAGAAGGUUUUCGGAUCUUAAAACUCUGUUUUUAGAGAAAAAAAAGGAUGAGGGUGGAAAGUCCAUCCCUUGACGGUAUUAAACCAAAAAGCCACGGCUAACUCCGU
This 506-nucleotide ribosomal RNA is filed under the name uncultured bacterium. Its description in RNAcentral is "partial 16S ribosomal RNA". It matches the Rfam family "Bacterial small subunit ribosomal RNA", at positions 28 to 506 of the family's 1533-position model. The record is from RNAcentral.